AGCUCACCUGCCCCAAACCCUCUGCGGGGCGGCUCCCUGCUGGCUGACUCCAGGCAUGUUCAGAAGCCACGUCCUUGGGGCAGCUGCAGGUCAGUGAGGGCCCCAGGCCUGGAAUGGCUGAGUUCUGCUGUGCUAAUGACAUAGCUGGCUCUGGGGUGGGCAGAAUAGCAGUUCCCAAAGAUGGGCCCGGUCCCAGGACCUCCUCACAUGGCAGAGGGACGCUGCAGAGGGGAUUAGAUCAAGGCCCCUGAGAUGGAGGUGACCCUGGGUUUCCGGGGACCCAGGGUUCUCACAAGGGUCCCUAUGAGAGGGGGGCAGGAGGUCAGGGUCAGAGAGAGAAGGGAAGGCGCCUGCUACCCUGCCCGCUGUGCAGAUGGGGCGCAGAGCCGAGGCUGUAGCGCCUCUAAAAACCGGAAGAGGUAGACGCAGUUCUCCCGAGCCCCGGAGAAGCCGGCUCUGCCCACGGGGAAUUAGGACUUUUGACCUCCAGAACUGUCACAGAAUGUUUCUGCCAUUCUAAGCCACUAAACCCGCGGCCUUUGUUAUGGUGUCCGUAGGGAGCUCCUGCAGGCACUGACGCCCGCGGGGUCCCAGAGUUCCCAUUUUGCAGACAAGCAAAGGGAGACUAGACCUGCCAGGACCGGAGGAGGCAAACCUGGCUUCCCGGCCAGGUCCCUGAUGGGCGGGGACAGGAGCGACAUGUCCAGGGAGCGGGAGAAUCCCGGGAGUCCGAACUGCUGGCAGAGCACCUGCUGUGCUGCCGAAGGCCAUGGAGGCCGUAAAGCAGGUCAGGGACCGGGCUGCAUCCUUCCAGCCCCCCGCGCCCGCCCGCGCCGCGCCGCGCCCCGCCCGGCAGCAGUCCCCGGAGGCCCCUCCCACCCGCGCGGUGCGGCGGCCGCGAGGGGUGCCGCAGACUCCGGGGUUCCGGCUGCACGCCAUGGGGAACUGAGCAGCCGCGCCUGCGCCCUGGCUCCAGAGCUGGGCCCCUCAGCCGUAGGACCCGAAGGUUGCCGGGACAACGAGUUUGCGUCAGCCACCUGGCGCGGCUCCCAGGCUCCCAACGCGGGGGGUGAAGAGGGGUCCUAGCCCUGAGCCAAUAGGAUUUCAGGGGGCCAAGCGUGAGGGGCGUGGCCGAGGCCAGCCCUCCAGCCAAUGGCAUUGUUGUUGUUAGGGCCACGCGAGGAGGACCGCACCCUUUUUAAAGGGACCGCGCCCAUUUCUCAGCGCUCUAUCCGCCCUCCGGUUUAGGGCAGAGUGACAAGGGCGGGGCCCUGGGUUGGGGGUACGCAGGCCGGGCCUCGUGUUUCGCAGUUGUUCACAGUAGGGCUGUGGGGACGGCUCAUCCAGAUCCUGUUGCUUUUCCGGGGGAACCCCUGCAUUUAUUCGGUGCCAGGGUGUGCACCUGGACCCCAUGCAGCACCCGCCUUCAGGGUCACCCACGCCCUGCGGCUUCAGGGCAAGCGUACCCCCAAGAAGGCCAUUCUGCAGGCCCGGGACCCGGCUCCCGCCCCUCUUCCCAGGGGGCCAGGGAAUAUCCCUUAACCCGGGCCCCUUCCCCCUUCCCCACCUGGAAACCAGCUUGUUUUCCCCCGGGUGUCCGGUCCAAUGUCCAGGCCCUCUGUGCCGACACCGGAAAGGAGAGGGGUGACGGCAAGGAUGUGGUCCCCACAGACUGGGAGGCAGUGGCCACAGGCAGUGUCCCCCCACCCUGGACGGGCCCUCCUCUCCACUCUCAGCUGGCCCAGCUCAGUGACAUCAGGGGUGAGCAGUGACAUGGGCUGACCCUGGGUGCAGGAGCAGUGGAAGUGACCCGCCAAACAGCCCGUCUGCGUCCUCCAUGUCCCUAGCCAGGGGUGGCCUGUGGGGUGAGGAGAUGCCUGUAGCCCAGGUCCUUGCCAAGGCUGCCCUCAAGGACCAGGGCUGGCAUGUGGAGGGGCUACAGGGCCCAGAGAUUUGGGAAGGAGAGGGACCAGUGAGCUGGGCAGGGUCCCUGGUCCAUGUCAGGCUUUGGGAUGUGGGUCCAGCUUCCCCCUGGUGGUCCCUCCUGUCCCUCCAUCCAGCCCCACCCUGCACCCCUGGACACACUGACCUGGAGUGUCCUUUGAUCCUCCUUCCCUGGCAACAUGAGAUGUCAUCUUAAGGGGAAACUGGGGGUGGGGGGUGUAUCUGGAAACUCUCAGUGCAAUUUUUGCAACUUUUCUGUGAGUAUAAAACUAGUUAGAAAUACAGUGAAAAAGAGAGCACACCUCUAGUGGUAAGUAAAUUCUGAACAUUGUCCCUGCCUCACUGACCCAUUGAAGAUGGCCUGCAGGUGCAGCAUGACCCUCCAAAGGCAUGACGCUCCAGCUAUUCUGGAAGCUUCCAGGGAGGCCAGGGCAAGGAGGGCUGGCUGUGGUCUGGAGGCCCUCCUGGUUGGCUGUCAGGUCUCCCCACUCCCCCAGGGCCCCCAGCCAGUGGGAAUCUCCCCACGUGUCCAGGAUUCUUUGGGAUUAGUGGAGGUACCAUUGGGGUGGGCUGUCUGUCUCCUGGGGGCCAGCAUGCUGCCCUGUCAGCUGUGAAAAUCAAGGACCCUGAGAUGGGGGUGGCCUUGGGUUCCCGGGGCCCAGCGUCCUCACAAAGGUCCCUAUGAGGGGAGCAGGAGGUCAGGGUCAGACAGACGGGAAGGCACGGCCCUGCCGGCUGUACAGACAGAGGAGGGGGCCCUGAGCCAAGGCUGUGGGGCCUCUAGAAGCUGGAAGAGGACACGGUUCUCCCGGGGACCCCGGAGGAGCUGGCCCUGCCCUCCUGGAUUUAGCCCCGUGAAACCCAUGUGGACAUCUGACCCCAGAACUGCGGGAGAGUAAAGUCAUGUGGUUUUAAGCCCCAGCAGCCCCGGCUGAUCCCCCCGGCUGAUAGUGACCCCGGCUUUCUAAUGCGGCUGUGACAGAACAGCUCUGCUCCGGGCAGCUUUUAGGGACUGGACUGACAGACGGGCACAUCCAUUUGAGAGAGGUGGUUUGGCUCCGCCCGCUCUGGACCUUUGCUCCAGGACUCCUACCGGUAUCCCUGAGCCUUCCUGGAUCUGGCCGGGUUGUCAGAACGUGGGGUGACCCCCAGAGCUGAGCCCAAGGAGCAGGAGAAAGAUCUCUCCCACAAGUGAGCCAGGUGGCAGGGAAGACCGUGGGGCCAACAGAAGCAGGGUGUGCAGGGCCCCUGGGCGCAUGAUGGUCCGGGACCUUACGGUGGUAUCCAAGCCAGCCCUGGGCCUGUCUUGCUGAGGGUCAGGACAGGGCCUGCUGCCCAGCAAGAGGGAGAAGUUUGUAGCAGCUCAGUAAGUCAGCGCCGGGAGUCCUGGCCUCGGGGGUGGGGUGGAGUUCAGGGGUGACCACCCGACUCCAUCUCCACUUUCCAACAAUGUGCUGGAGGGGUCCACGUGUCACCAGUGGGAAAUGCAGGCCAACCCUUAGCAUCUGAUGGAAACUUAGGCAGACUCCCGAGGCCUGGUGGGUUUGGGGGCAAGCCUCCCCCCUCAUCUGCUCAGGACAGACAGAGCUCACUCCUGGCUGUUUUCCAGGUCGGCCUUCCUGGGAGCAGAAUUCCCGUCAGGGACAUGAGGCCUGAGGCAGGGAGGGGCGGAGCAUGGCAGCUGGUUUUGUUUUUCAUCUGCUGUCUGGUUUGGAAAGAAGGGCAGAUGGCUCCAGAAAUAUCUAGGAACGCGCACCUUCCCCCACUCCCGGCGGGUGACCAGCGGAGGCAUAUGAGGAGGUCAGCAGAGGUGCUUUGUAAACAGUGGCUUUGAGACAGCAGGCCCAGCCAGGACUCUGCUUGUCGCCCAGGACGGCCAAGGGUGGGCGUGGCCCAGGCGGCCCACAGCCAGGACCCAGUGUGGUCCGUCCACGCACUGGAAAUGAUUCGGCCACAGGAAGGAGCGGAGCCCUGACAUGUGCCGCAGUGUGAACGGGCCCUGAAUGCACGGUGCUCAGUGAGCUGCCAGACACAGGCCACACGGCCCAUGACCCCAUUUCUGGCGAGCGUCCACAACAGGCGGAUCCACAGACAGAAACGGGAGAAUAGGAGGUAGUUGCUAAUGGACACAGCUUCCAGGCCGGUGAGAAUGUUUUGGAGCGAGAUACAGGGGAGGGCUGCACGGCUUUGUGAAUUCACCAAAUGCCAGCUGCACACUUCACAUGGGUUACUGAAUCUGGGAGAAUGAAGAGAAGGGAACCAGCGGGCAGUUAGUUCGCGAGAGUGUGCAGCCUGCAGAUGGGGAGCUGAGCGCUGGAGACGGUGCUUUUGAAAGAAUAUCAAUGACCAAAAACAACGCAUUUAAGGAAACACCUGCUUCUCACUCACAAGAGAUGUCAAGACGACCUGUGUGUGUUUUGCAAGAGAACUUGUGCCCAGAGGCGUCAGCAGGAACCCCAUAUCGUACCGUGUGCUGGACGGGGAAGCCCCUGACACUCAGUGCCAGGAACACACCCUAGAGCUUUUAAACCUCGUGGUGGUUCUGACCCAGAGGGACCCCGGGCCAUGUCUGGGGAAAUCUGUGGUUGUCACAAGUGGAGGAGCUCCUGGUGUCAAGUGGGUGGGGGCCAGAGAGGCUGCUCGAACCCCCACCGGGCCCAGGACAUCUCCCCACAGAGAGUGACCCACUGCCAGUGUCAGCAGUGCCAGGCGGAGCCCCUGGUCUGGAGAGACAGCCAGCAGGCACGGAGGCGCUCAGUCCUGCAGCCACACGGAGCUGAGUCCUGCCGACAGCCACGAGAGCGUGGAAGUGGACCUGUCCCCGGUUGAGUCCCCGGGUGAGACUGCGACCCUGGCUGACCUGUCCUGGAGUCUCAGCGUGGCAGGGCCGGGACUCCUGACCCACAGAAACCAGGCUAGCAAACCUGUGUUGUCCCAGUUGCUUUAUCUGUGAAAAGCUUGCACAGCAAUAGCGACUCAUACAGCGACUUCAUCAUUAAUGACUUCCAGCUAACACGGCAGCUCUUUAAGACAUGUACGUGCAAUCCCCAUCGUCCACACAGGAAGCCGGCAUUGGCACCAUGUCCAUUUCUUGUUAGGUUUGUCUGAACCUGCAGCCAGUACUCUCCCCUCAAAAUUCAGGCUGUUGCCUACCCCGGAGGCGUUCAGGAGAGGGCUUUCUGUGUUCCCAGUGGCAGAGUCAUGUCACCUUGGCAGGUCGUUCCCAGUUCUGCUGCCGCAUAAGCCCUGAUCGUUAGGUUUUCCCUUUUUUUGCGACACCACUGCCUGACUUCAGCUCUGAUUGCCAAGCCUCCCCUUCCAGGAGGGCUAUCUUGAAUGAGCAUGUUGAUGGCCGCAGGCCUAGAUAAAAAGCCACAGCCCCUACGGAGAUGUCUUUGUUUUAAAGAUCUUGGUUGGUUUGAUAACUGACCAUUUGGGCCGCUUGUCUUUUAUUUUCCCACGCUUUAUGUUCCCACACUUGUUUAAAAUUCACCAAUAAAGACCUGAGAAUCCCUAAGCCCCCACCCUGGGCCCCCAUAAAAGCUGAAGCAUAGGCUGGUGGGUGCUCCGCCCGUGACCUCACUGGGUAAUUUCAAGGUCCUUUAAGUAAUAAACCUUUACUUUCUCAGUUUAUCGAUGGUCAUUGCUGAUGGGUGUCUGGCAAUGAUAGUAAGGGCCACGAGGGCCGGUCCAGCCGCAUUGCUGGGGAUGGGCGGGCUGAGACCAUGAUGCACGACCGCAUUGGCUAAGGGCAGUGGUGUGUGCGAUUUUUACUAUUGUUUUAUGGUUUUUUGGAAUUUGACGUUUUUUUUUGUAUGGUCAAGUGUAUAAUCAAUUAAAAAAAUAAAAGAAAAUUUCACAAACACUUUCACGGUAGUCUGGCACAAAAGGGGCCUCUCUAGCUGAGUAAGAAAUUUUAAGAGUAGCCAGCAAAUAAACUUUAAUAAGGUAUAUAUACAUAUAUAUUAUUUUAAUGAUAUAAUUAAUUCGAUAUAUUAAUUUAUAAAUGAAUUGUAUUACAUUAGUAAAAUUAUAUAUGACUUUAUAAACAUCAAUAUUCAUAUAAGUUUGUAAUUAACACAUUGAUAAAUGUAGGUAUUACUAUAUCAGAAUAUUAAUGUUUUUUCAGUCCGCAAAAAAAUAACAUUAAAUGCUUAUUAAAUCACUUUACCUGUUCCCCUUGAAUUUCUACUCAGUUAGUGUAUUUCAGUACAUAAAGUUUUCUGACUAAUGUAUUUUCCCUAGAGAUAUAUUACUCAGAAAACUUGAUCAGGAUGAGCACACCCUAUUCUGUACAUACUAACACUGCAACUCCUGCUUUGGGGUACAGCCAACCUACUUUAAGCUGUUCUAUGCCUUUUUAUAACAGGUUUAUUGGGAUGUAACUCACACUUCACAGGAUUCUCCCGUGGACAGCGUGCAGCUCAAGGGUGUCUUCAGAGCUGUGAAACCAUCUAUCCGCGUUGUAAAACCGCUGUCUGUGUCCACUUGAAAAGAACAAAGUGUUACGGUUUUGAUUUU
Manis pentadactyla (Chinese pangolin) is the source of this 6465-nucleotide long non-coding RNA. RefSeq lists it as uncharacterized. The transcript is spliced from 3 exons. The record is from RefSeq and is a predicted model, not a curated record. Lineage: Eukaryota; Metazoa; Chordata; Mammalia; Pholidota; Manidae.